AUGGCAGCGCGGAGGUGGCUGCUCUGGCCGAGAGGGACCACGGUGGAGCAAUUCAAGGAGUGGCUGAAGCAGUUCGACGUGGACGGCGACGGCCGGAUCAGCAAGGCGGAGCUCCGCCAGGCCAUCCGCCGCCGGGGCUGCUGGUUCGCCACCCUCAGGGCUGGGCGAGCCCUCCGCCACGCCGACAGGGACAAGAGCGGCUACAUCGAAGACGCCGAGAUUGAGAAUCUCGUCGCGUUCGCGCAGAAAGACCUCGGCAUGAAGAUCUCUCCAUGUGAAGUACAGACCUGCCGCUUGCGGGGCUUCCUCGGAGCCUUCUCCGUCGCCGGGGCCUUCCGCUUCCUCGCGCCGGCGGUGGUGCCCUGCGAG
RNAcentral lists this ribosomal RNA (369 nucleotides) under Triticum aestivum (bread wheat). RNAcentral describes it as "partial small subunit ribosomal RNA". Lineage: Eukaryota; Viridiplantae; Streptophyta; Magnoliopsida; Poales; Poaceae. The record is from RNAcentral.